This is a long non-coding RNA of Drosophila persimilis, 296 nucleotides long. RefSeq lists it as uncharacterized. The transcript is spliced from 3 exons. The record is from RefSeq and is a predicted model, not a curated record. NCBI's taxonomy places the organism in Eukaryota, Metazoa, Arthropoda, Insecta, Diptera, Drosophilidae.
ACGGCGGCUAACGGAACAAGGCUCGGAUUUUCCGUGAAAGUGACUCGAGUGCGAAAUGAUAUUUUAAGAAACAAAGCGAAUCAGGCCAGAGCCAAAGUGCAAACAAAACGAAAAGUGUUCAGCAGCAAACAUCGCACCCACAAAAGGAUCGGGGCCCAAGGAGCCACAGACUGCACUCCAAUGCAGUCCCCACUGUAGCCCAGAGCAAAGAAUUUCCUUUCUUCGCCCAAACUGAAGCAAUUAACUGAAAAUGUAGCAGUGGCAAGAACAUGGCCCAACUGGAACACCAAAUGCCA